Molecule: non-coding RNA, 198 nt
Organism: Parasteatoda tepidariorum (common house spider)
Lineage: Eukaryota; Metazoa; Arthropoda; Arachnida; Araneae; Theridiidae
Source: RefSeq, a predicted model, not a curated record
UUAGGUUUUUGAUUUUGUGCGCAAUGUGUGUAAUGUGCUUGUUAUUGGAGCCGGUGGUCUUGGAUGCGAACUUUUGAAAAAUUUAGCUAUGCUUGGAUUUCGAAAUAUUGAUGUCAUUGAUAUGGAUACAAUUGAAAUUUCCAAUCUAAAUCGGCAGUUCUUAUUUAGAGCAUCAGAUGUUGGAAAACCUAAAGCUGA